CCUACGGGAGGCAGCAGUGGGGAAUCUUGCGCAAUGGGCGAAAGCCUGACGCAGCGACGCCGCGUGGGGGAUGACGGCCUUCGGGUUGUAAACCUCUUUCGACCGGGACGAAGCGAGAGUGACGGUACCGGUAGAAGAAGCACCGGCUAACUACGUGCCAGCAGCCGCGGUAAUACGUAGGGUGCGAGCGUUGUCCGGAAUUAUUGGGCGUAAAGAGCUCGUAGGCGGUUUGUUGCGUCGGCCGUGAAAACCUGUGGCUUAACUGCGGGCUUGCGGUCGAUACGGGCAGACUUGAGUUCGGUAGGGGAGACUGGAAUUCCUGGUGUAGCGGUGAAAUGCGCAGAUAUCAGGAGGAACACCGGUGGCGAAGGCGGGUCUCUGGGCCGAUACUGACGCUGAGGAGCGAAAGCGUGGGGAGCGAACAGGAUUAGAUACCCCAG
This 440-nucleotide ribosomal RNA is filed under the name uncultured bacterium. RNAcentral describes it as "bacterial SSU rRNA". It matches the Rfam family "Bacterial small subunit ribosomal RNA", at positions 338 to 790 of the family's 1533-position model. The record is from RNAcentral.